This is a long non-coding RNA of Rhipicephalus sanguineus (brown dog tick), 664 nucleotides long. RefSeq lists it as uncharacterized. The record is from RefSeq and is a predicted model, not a curated record. NCBI's taxonomy places the organism in Eukaryota, Metazoa, Arthropoda, Arachnida, Ixodida, Ixodidae. The transcript has 2 exons.
AGCCUGGCCACAACAGUUCAUAUUGAACCUCGGGUCUGUGUCCACUUAUAAAAAGUAUUGCCCAUGUAUCCGUAACAGUCACAUCUCCGUGAGUAUGGGCCAACUGGCUAGCACGUUCAGGCCCCGCUUUUUGCGGGGCCCGAGUUCUGAGGAACCCGAAUUGGCCGAGGCAUGCUCAUCUGGAAGCGAACUGCGGCAGCUGUCGGCUCCAGAAGGUGGUCAAGCUAGCUCCUGCCUUGUGUCUGAAAAAGCCGGGCCGAGCAAUGCACUGUCACAAGAAGCACACUCUGGCGUCGAACCAGCCGGUCGCCACGACGUCGAGGACCUUUCCGCAUCUGCUAGUAUCCAGACCCAGUUGUCCCUGUUUCUCAUGCAGCCCCACGUUAAACCGAGCCAGAAGCCAGAUGCGGGCAGGUUGGCCUCGCCGGAGAGCGACGGCGUGACGCCAGUUCCUGUUGAUGCCGAGCAGAUCCGCGGUCUCUUUUGCUUCGGCUGUUAAACAGGGUACCCAGCUCAGCCACCGCUCGUGCUCUGCUCGGAAGGCAGCGAAAUGCAAGAAUGGAGGCGUAUUUUCUUGCAAAAACUUGGUCCUUCUUUGAGCUUUCUGUACAUAGCUUCGUAUGGUUGACAAGGUGUUCUCACCAAAUAAAUUGACCUGCAUUCA